Molecule: ribosomal RNA, 447 nt
Filed under: uncultured bacterium
Lineage: Bacteria
Description: bacterial SSU rRNA
Rfam family: Bacterial small subunit ribosomal RNA
Source: RNAcentral
AACGAACGCUGGCGGCAUGCCUAACACAUGCAAGUCGAACGAGACCUUCGGGUCUAGUGGCGCACGGGUGCGUAACGCGUGGGAAUCUGCCCUGGGGUGCGGAAUAACUCGGAGAAAUCCGUGCUAAUACCGCAUAAUGUCUUCGGACCAAAGAUUUAUCGCCCUGGGAUGAGCCCGCGUAGGAUUAGCUAGUUGGUGGGGUAAAGGCCUACCAAGGCGACGAUCCUUAGCUGGUCUGAGAGGAUGAUCAGCCACACUGGGACUGAGACACGGCCCAGACUCCUACGGGAGGCAGCAGUGGGAAUAUUGGACAAUGGGCGAAAGCCUGAUCCAGCAAUGCCGCGUGAGUGAUGAAGGCCCUAGGUUGUAAAGCUCUUUUACCCGGGAUGAUAAUGACAGUACCGGAGAAUAAGCUCCGGCUAACUCCGUGCCAGCAGCCGCGGUAAU